GAUGUGCAUUUCCAAUGGUAGCUGAAUUAAGUGGAAGCGAAUUUGCCCCUAUUUCAACAAGAAAAUUUGUCAGUUAAAAACUUAGUGGUGGCUUGCGGCACUUGGAUGUCCCGACACCUGCUCCAGUGUUCAUUCCCUUUAUUUUGUGUCAGAUUGCUGGCAUUUGCCCCUAUUUUGUCGUGUCAUUGACCCAAACUCAGAUUAUUAAGAGUGACUCCGAAAUAAACACAGUAUCUCUGCUUUGUCUUGCUUCUCAGAUAAACCCUUUAAACCUUGGUAUUUUCAUGAGUUCCCCAGCUUUUCUGUUGACAAAAAUUUUUGCAUGUCUUAUUCAACUCAUAAUCAUGUCUCUUUCAUAUGCUGACUUUGUCUUACUUUGUAUAAUUGAAGAAGCUAGUAGCCAGUUUUGAAAUCUUUUCUCACUUGUUUUGAUAUGGACUUGACUCAAAGACAAGAGAAAAAUGACAAUGACUUUUAUUUGGACCACUGACUCAAGAAAACAAAAUAAAAAUAAUGAGAAGAAAGAAAAGACAAUGAAUGUCCCCGUUGGAAACAAAGAAAUGAAAAAUUAAUCUAGAAAUGACAGUCAACUCUAAUGAUUUUGCCAUGCAUAUCAGAUUAAACUGCCUGAUCUUUCCAUCCAAAACCUUCUACCAAUUGUUGUUAAGUUAAUGACCUCGAAAUUGAGUUGCUUCCUUAGGUCAAUUGCAUUUAAGACCUCAUUCGGCUAGUGGCGCCUUGAAAGGUUUUUGCCAACAAGCCUCUCUUAUUUUCUUUUUCUCAGCUCACCAUUGCCCUAUGGUGUCCGUGAAGGUUUUUCACCAAUGAGACUCUUAUUUUUAUUUGUCUCAACUCACCGUCGUCUUACAGUGCCCGUGAGGGUUUUCACCGAUAAGACUCUCUUAUUGUUAUCUUUCUCAGCUUACCAUCAUCUUACAAUGUCUGUGAGGGUUUUCAUCGAUAAGACUCUCUCAUUUUUAUUUCUCUCUUGAUUCCUUAUACCGCGGAAGACAAGUAUUUACCAAAAUGCGUCAUCACAUCCAUUGCAUGCUUAGUCUUAACAUUCUCAAAGAUUGAUCUGAAGGUCUUUCUUUGGUUGUAACUUGGCUUUUGGACAGGGUUAGAAAGAAAGGAUGGAAUGGGGCCAAAACGACACUUGAAGUGGAUGACUCCAAAUUGUUUAUUGGGUGAGACUUACAACUUUUGAAAUCAACUCAAACAAUGAGGAUUACCUCAUGCCCUAGUUUCUUUUGACUGGGUGACUCUAAAUGGUUUAUUUGGUUGGACCGAGCCCCGAGUAGGUAAGCCUAUGUAUCUCACCCCCGACAGAGGAAAAUCAGGUCGCACGAGUUCCGACAACUUAUUUUGCAUGAUUUAGACUUUUGAUUCUUUUUCUUUUAUUGACACUCUUUUCUCUUUGAAUUUUUUUGACUCUAUUUUCCUUCACUUUUCUUUUCUCUUUUCUUUUUGGACAUUUUUUUUUCUUUUUUUUUGAAACUUUUCUGACACCAUUUUUUUUGUUCGACACUUCCUUUUUGAGCUUUGUUAACUCUAUCUUGAUUCCAAAAGAGGGCUAUGAAAGAAAUAGAACUAAAGCUAAAAUGGCGUAAACAAAGGAUGACAUAAUAUUUGGAUAGAAAAAUGAAAUGCCUUCGUCGAAUCAAUCCUUGAAGAUGCUAGUACAUAGCAUGUAAUGUGAAAGUGAAAUAUAAAGAUCAUGUGUGACACUUUAACAACACAAACUUUAACUGAGCAUGUGUGUCACUUCUUCCACUCUUGUCAAACAUACAACUCCACCUUUGUUGUACAUCCCUCACAUUGAAUGACUUAUGCUUUAGUGGAGUUGAUUUUUGUUCUGUUCCUUGGGAUCAUACAUCUGCUAUUUGACCUAAUUGUGCUAUGUUUUUCAAUUGAUGACCAAGUUAUUCUUAUGCUUCUCAAAAUAAUUUCCUUGAUUUUCAAAGAAAGCUUCAACUCAUCACCAAAUGUCUCAACACUCUACCUAUUUCCUCAGAUGUUUUUUCUAACUUUAGCCCUCUGAUUCAAAGUUCAUGCUUAAAACAGGACUUUAAGAUCAGGCUGAAAUUCCGCAGGCAUGUCAUAUCACUAAAGCCAACAUAAAAUGUACUAUGUAAAGGAAACAAACAAACAAACAACACAUAUUUAAAACACAAAGGAAAAAAGAACAUUCUCUUUAGUUGAAAUAAAAGAGAAAAGGGUUUGAACAUAAACGACAAAGGGACAAAACAAGAUAGAUCCCGAACUACAACCCUAAAGUAAUUCAAAAAAUAGAAAAGAAAACAAAACAAACUACCACACCUCUUCCUAGUAGGGAGAGGGGUGACUUCUCAAUUGCUCAGCCUAACAACUUAGCCACUGGUUUGCAUAUCAGCGUGACUAGAGCUUUCCUUACUGCCAAUGUUCUGCACCAUAAUUGAUCUAUCUUGAAUCAUCUUUUCAAUUUAUCUUUUCAAAGUCCGACAAUCUUCAAUACUGUGACCCUGAACAUCAGAAUGAUAUGCACAUCGUACACUAGGUUCAAAACUUCUUGAAUGCGGGUCAGGAGUAUACCCAAGGAGAGGAGUGAUCAUACCCCGCUCUACCAAUUUUUGAAAUAAGUUGGCAUAUGACUCUCCAAUUGGUGUGAAGCUAUCCCUCGAUUUUUGCCUCAUUUAAUUGUUUGGAUUGGAUCCAAAAUUAGGCCUAGAAAGGCUUUGAUAGAUUUGUAGAGUCGGAAGGUAACUAUGAGGAGUUGGUGCGUGUCAUUGUGAGUAAGAAGGGAGUUGAACAUAUGGUUGUGCGUAGUAUACUAGAUAUGGAAGUGCGGAAAUAAAGUAUAAUGGAUUGUAGGAGGGAUUGACGGCAACGACGACGUCGUCUUCUUGGAUGUGCCCGUUCCCCAACUACAAUAGCAACUGUAUCUUUCUUAUUCUUUUUCCCUCCAGUUUCCUUUAAUUGAUUGCAAUAUUGUCCCAAAUAUUUCACGAAUUCCUCCUAUCCAUCUUGCUCCUCAAAUUUUGACAUCUCGAAGAUUGGAGGAAGGUUAGCACUUAAAGGCAUGCCCCAAUCUUUAUAUGAAACAUCUUCUUUACCCGUUGGUCCUAGAGAAUUUUUCAUAGCAUUUUCUGCACUCUUCAUUUUUCCAACCAUUUUCUUCGACUCUUCUGGCACACUGGACUUCUUGUUAAGAAAUUUUGGUGGUCCAGUUAACUUAAAAGCAAGCUCAGGAGUAUAACAAUGAUCACCAGGAGUAUUGAAUAUAGGUUCACUAGUAGCAUGCGACGCACAACCGUUGGGCGAGCCAGUGUGGAAGUCCCAGUAGAGGAUUGAGCAACAAGAUCACAAAUAUCAUGUUGUGUUGUGAAUGUAGCAGGCUUAUGCUGAGGAGCUAGAGGAAAAGUAGUGGAAGUAUUGAGAUGCUUUUGGCUUGGAAUGAAUUUUGAGUCAUGUUGCGAUGCAUCAACAAAAGUAGAAAAUUGACUUGGAGAUUUUGGUGGAAAACUCGAGCUAUUUAUAGGAUCAAUAAAGGGAAAUGGAGGAGGAGAAAACCCACUGGGCCAAGCUUGAUGCAUUUCUGUCAUUUGUUGUCUAGCCUCUUAAUCUCUUGCUUCAAACUUUCUUUUUCCUGACUCUUUGUUUGAUCCAUGAUGUCAUUCUCUAUAUCCUUGUUGGACACAACUAACCGUUUGAAUUUGGUGUGAUGUGGAGCACCAACCAGAAUGCCACAAACCAACCACCUUAAAUUGACUCAACAAAAAACAACAAAUGUGUUAGAGUUCAACACUUUUUCAAAACCUCUUUUUCCUUCUUCUUUUUUUUUUAAAAUAUCACCGAACCCAAGAAGGGCACCUACAUAUCUCACUCCUGAGAUAGGAGAAUCAGGUGUGCGUAGUUCGUGAAGUCUUGCCAAAAUGGCCAAUCAAACUCUUUUCUUUUUCUUGAAACAAAGUGUCAAGAAUUGACGUAAAUCUUUUUUGCAUUUUUAGGUUUAAAUCCCUAUACAAAAUGAAACCUAUGAUUACCAAAGAAAAAUCUUUUGGAUUUUCAAUUUUGCAUUCAUACGUAAAUAAAACUUGAAACUAUUAAAGGAAAAUCUUUUUGAAGUUUUCUCUUGAAGAUGUAUAUGAAACACCUACUCUAAACGAAGAGUGAAUAAAAUAUUUUUUGAAUUUUUGAAAUAAUAUCCCCAAACCCACAAUAGGCUGCCUACAUAUCUCACUCCCGAGAGAAGAGAAUCAGGGGUGCGUAGUUCAUCCAGAUUAGACAAUUAAGUAUUAUAGAACAAACAGAACCUUGACUUAAGAGACAUGACUGCACGAUACAAAUAAAAUCUUUUUGGAUUUUUAAUUUGACACUUCAUACAAAAAUGACAUCAACAACUAUGAAAGAAAAAUAUUUUUGGUAUUUUCGUUAUACGAAAUGUAAAAAAUUUAUAACAUCUUUUUUUGCAUUUUUCUUUUAUAAAAACUCCUAUGAAUAAAUUAUUUUUUUUUGAAGUUUUCGAAUUGUGAAUGCAUGCUAAACGAGACAAAGGAAAAUCUUUUUGAUGUUUUUGAGAAAAUGAGUGCAAAAGGUAAAAAGAAAAAAUCUUUUUGAAUUGUUGAAUUGUGAAAAACAAAAGCCAUAAAAAACUCUAAAAACUACAAAACACUUUUUUUUUGACUCACUUGUUCUUCUAUUUUUUUCAACAAUUCUUGCCUACGCCCUUUACUUCUAACACCUGUUUUCCCCAAAUCAAUCCGUCAAAUGACCACGUUACCCUCAAAGAUGCAAUAUUUAGCACGUAGGGAUGCUUUAGAAGUGAGUCUCCUACAAAGAGUCACGUGGGUCCCGCUAGGUCUCAAUAUGAUGUAGAUAAGCAUGACCUAAAGGCCGACCUAUGUUGGGGUCUACUAACAAGGUUGCUUGGGAAGCGUAUGGUCGAUAGUGGAUUGCUUUAGCUGUCUACCUACUCCAUACAAACCAACGGCUCCCCCUCCUAACAUAAGAGUGACUCAACUAUAGGUCGUGUACAAACGUUACUAUAGACUUGUUUCAGAAAGAAAGACUCGGGUUAUUGUAACGCCUCGUAAUUUGGGCUACAAUAUGGACCAUAAUUUUGAUGUGUUGUUAAUCCCGAAGCCAUAAAAUCCUAUGCCAAUACGGCAUGAUAAUUAUCAUGUAUCAUGUGAAAUCCACUCAAUCUUGAAUUUAGACCAUAGAGGUCCUACAACUUAGGACGAGUCGAAACUAAUUUGAUCGACUAAGUUUUAGUGGAUGUUGUAAAGUGUGUCAGUUUCCUUCAACCAUAACUCUAUGUAUAUGUCGAAUUAGGGAACCUACUAUGUGUCAAAUGAUAGGUGUUCGAGUUAUCUUUCCAAUGAUACCAAUUUAGCUAAAAUCCGACAACCGAGCAAGAAGUUAUGACCUUUCAAAGUGAUAAGGCCCAUGGCCACUGGACAGCAUAGGCGAUAGCCUAGGCGGCAGCCUAUGUGAAUAUAGGUGAUAGCCUAGGUGGAGCCUAGGUGGAGCCUAUGUGAACAUAGGCGAUAGCCUAGGCGAUAGCUUAGGCGGCGCCUAUGUGAUCAUAGGCGAUGGGAUGGGCCGCGCCUAUGUAAGGAAUUCUAGUGAUUUAAACACUCCGUGUUGAGGACAAAGUGGUCCUUUUCCACCCUUGCUUAGCCCUAAAACACGAGAUUUAGUUCCAAGGACCCCAAAAUACAUAUUAUUUCAUCAAAAGUGCUCAAGUUUCUCCUUAGGGUUUCAAAAUAAAAACCCAAAUAGUUCAAGAUUCGACCGUAGGUUUUCGAAGAUAAUUACAUAUUAGAAAUCACCAAUUCGCAAGCUUCAAGAAACAUCUAUUGUCCUUGGAAAUAGAGGUACGUGGGGUUAUCCAAAAAUCUCAUGGGUGUAGUUUUAUGAACAUGAAUGUUUUUAAAUGGGGUUUUUCAAUCAAAUGCUAAUAUCUUGCUUUCAAUAUGAUUUCUAAGUCAUUUCCUGUAUGUCAUGGGAAUUGUUUACCUAUAUACUUCAAUGGUUGAAACCAUGCAUAUGUGAUUUGAGAUUUUCCAUGGAAGUUUAUAAAUAUGAAUGAUAAAUUGUUUUCAAAUUCCCAUGAUAAUGUUUCAAUACUCCAUAUUAUAUUGUGAUCAACAAAAGAGAGCAUGAAUUUGAAAUACAUAUUAUUCACCAUUUGUCAAUGAUGAAGCACCUUGGUUUUUACAUGAUUAUGCAUAUGUGGAUGUGACUUUGAUGACUUGCAAGUAGAGUAUGACGAUACCCUUCAAAAUAUGAUAUGCGAUUGAAUAAGAUGAAAUUUGAAUGCAUUGAUUUUACAUUAGAAAAGUGGAUGGCCGAAGAAAGCGUUUUAAGACACAAGCGGCUCAUCGUUGGAAGAACGUGUUUGCCGACACGGAAUAUCGGUACCAUGCUUUGUGGUCUUGCGUACCUGAUAUUAUAUUAUCCCAAAUUGGGAUUCUGGUUAGGAGCCAUGCUUCGUGGUCUUGUGCACUACCAUCUCGGCGGCAAUCGAGGUUUGACAGUUGUGUAAAUUAUGUAGGGUAUUCCACCUAGCUCAGUUGAAUUUCAUUAUUUAUGAGAAAAACUAUUGCAUUACACCACUGUGCUUUCAAAUGAUUUGAUACGAAAUUGCUUUAUAAUGGCUCUCAACUAUACUUUAUAAAAAUAUUAUGUUUUGUUUUGAUAUCUCUGCGUGCCAGUACUUUUGUGCUGACCCCCUCCCCUCUCCAACCUCUCAAGUUCAGAGGCCCAGUCUAGGGGUCAAGAGAACCAGUAGAUUUUUUAGACAGAGUUGCAGAGACAAGUGGUGAGCCUUCUAUGUUUCGGAAGGUCUUAUGUCCUGCAGUCCCUUUUAUCUUAUAUUAGUUUUGGGUCUGCUGGGGGCCUUGUCCCAGUUUUCAGAUAGUUACUUGUUUCAAUCAUAUAAUAGAGAUUUCGCAGAUGAUUUUCGAGAUAUUGAUUGGGAUUGUGGGACGUUACUCCCCAUUAUUGUUUUCAUAUGAUUCUUGACCAUGUUUUCGUUAUAUUGUGUUUCUUCCGCAUUACUUUGAACAUAUGAAUUUAUGUGCAUGAUUACCAGACAGAUAGGGGUGUUUCGGGCCUCCAUGGUUCGAAAUGCUCAUCAUGGCCAGGCCCUAGUUCGGGUCGUGACAGUUAUGCACAUGAUGUCAAAUAUAAAGUGGUAACAUAUAAAGUAAAAACUAUAAACAAAGAGCACGUAGGCACUCAACAAUGAUAAACAAUAACACAAAACAACACAAACAAAAUGUCUAUACACCUAUAGUGCCAAACUAAGCCGAUACAACUCCAAAAUAAGCUUGAAUUCUAAAAAUUCCCCAGCAGAGUCGCCAGAGCUGUCACACUCCUUUUUUAACUCCAAAAAGAUUAAUUUUAUUUUAAAGUUUGAAAGGGUUUUUAUUAUCAAAGUGACAAAAAUGAAGAUUUUUUUCGAAAAGGAUUAUUUACAUUUAAACUCAGAGUCGCCACUUGAAAUAAUCCGGUGUGCCAAGUCACCUUUGGAAAAUCCUUUUCAAAAUUGUUUUGACUCUUUUAAAACUGGUUUGCGAACAGAGAUUCCAGCUAAGGAAUUUUGUUGACCGAGGGAAAGGUGUUAGGCACCCCUCGAUCCCGUGGUUCGACCACGGUCGCUUGGUGGAGCGUAUCGGCUAAUUCGACACUAUGAAUGUACAAACCACACAAAAACACGAAAAACAAGCAAACAAACAGACAAAACAAAAUGAAUCUAAAUAUAGUGUCCAGUCCAAUUUAUACAGUCCAAAAUAGAAAAAUGCUAAGAUAAAUCCUAUCUAACCUAUACUAAUACUAACUACGCUCCUGCGCUUUACCUGACGCCUCUGGCCUUCCUCUCAAAUUCCUUCCACCAACAUAGUACGUCGGGGCAUUCCCCAGUAAACAAAUACAAUUCCUUUGGGGCAUUCCCCGACAAAUGAAUACAAUGUCAAUUUCAUGCGAUAAACUAGGAAACAUCCAACAAAUAUUCCCAACAUUCCAACAAUCCACCAAUUCUAAAUUUUUCCUACCCGAGCCUAUUUUUUGCCUACCUGCUCGAUGACAUAUAACGUUCAACAUCAACAAUGAAUCAAAAUACCAUAAUAUUCACUUUUAUCAAUUUUUGAUUUUCAACCCAAAUCCAUUCUAAACGCCACAAAUAGCAAUCACUAUUUCACAAUCCAUGCUCAUUUUAGUAACGAAUUUAAAUAACAAAACCAUAUCAAUGAAAUCAAGUCAUCAUAAUCAACCAACAUGUAACCAUAGCUAAUGCAACCAAUCAAAAUGAAUAAGAAAAUGGGUUAAAGAAAUGGACCUCAAUAGAAUGUUCUCGUAGAUAAUAAAGAAGUCCGAGACCGAAAUCCUCCAAAAUGGAACCCCAAAGAUGAACACACCAAAUCAAUAAUCCAAGAGUACCAACUGGUCCGAUUUCAACCAAGAAUAAAAACCCAAAACAGGAACAAAAUCGAUGAAUCCCCAAAGCUCGAUCCCGGCGACAGAAUACAAAAUCAGACAAACCCAAAAAACCCCAAUGCGCAGUAUCGAAAAUGAACCGCAAAGAAGACGAACUCGAAGCCUCAGAAAUGCCGUAGAAAGACUAAAAAAACGUAGCUUAAGCUCCGAUGAGCUAACACGAAGGUAAAGAACGACAAUCCGAGACGAUUUCCAAUGAACCUUAUUGUUUUCCGACCGGAUCCAACUCAGAAAUCAAAGAGGAAUAGAGGGAUUUUAGGAUGUAUUCGUAUCAUAGUGGAUUUUUAGCCCGUAGAAACAGAAAAUGACCAAAUCAGUCCCUUUGGUGACGAGUUCACCUAAAAGUGCUAACCCGCAGUGCCUCUCGAUCUAGUUUUUCUCUUCCUUCGCUACUCUCCACCUCUCUCUCUAUUCGAUGUGUGUGUGUGCGAGAUUUUUUAGUGUAUUAUAUGGGUGUACAGUGGUGAAUCAAAGAGAAUCAAGUGAUUGAGUAUCUCCUUUUUCGUUUUAUCCCUGAUGUGUGUGUAUUGAUGUAUGAAGAAAAGGGUAUGUCUGUUCAAUCAUGUUGCUGGGCAGAAAAUUUUUUGUGUAUGGGUGGGUAUUCUGGGAAGGUCUUGUAUGCAUAUGGGCUCCGUGAGUGUAUGUGAGGUGUCUUA
RNAcentral lists this long non-coding RNA (9137 nucleotides) under Capsicum annuum. RNAcentral's name for it is "long non-coding RNA (CANN_LNC015118)". The record is from RNAcentral. Lineage: Eukaryota; Viridiplantae; Streptophyta; Magnoliopsida; Solanales; Solanaceae.